CAAUAGCGUAUAUUAAAGUUGUUGCGGUUAAAAAGCUCGUAGUUGGAUUUCUGUUGGGAACGACCGGUCCGCCCACUGGGUGUGUAUCUGGCUUGUUCUCGGCAUCUUCUUGGUGAACGUUGCUGCACUUGACUGUGUGGAGCGCUACCCAGGACUUUUACUUUGAGGAAAUUAGAGUGUUUCAAGCAGGCAUAUGCCUUGAAUACAUUAGCAUGGAAUAAUAAGAUAGGACCUCGGUUCUAUUUUGUUGGUUUCUAGAGCUGAGGUAAUGAUUAAUAGGGAUAGUUGGGGGCAUUCGUAUUUAACUGUCAGAGGUGAAAUUCUUGGAUUUGUUAAAGACGGACUACUGCGAANGNAUUUGCNAAGGAUGUUUNCAUUG
Molecule: ribosomal RNA, 379 nt
Filed under: uncultured eukaryote
Lineage: Eukaryota
Description: partial 18S ribosomal RNA
Rfam family: Eukaryotic small subunit ribosomal RNA
Source: RNAcentral